UUGACUGUGCUAAGGUAGCAUAAUAAAUUGGCUUUUAAUUGAAGUCGGGAAUGAAAGGGUGUUUGGAGUUAUUCUGUCUUAUUUUUAUUUUUUAAAAAUUACUAAUGAGGUGAAAAUUCCUCAAUGUUACUUGAUAGACGAGAAGACCCUAAGAAUUAUUACAACUACUUAAAAUAAAUUAAUAAAAGUUUUUGUUGGGGCAACAACUUUGAGGAAACCAAAGUUAAAAUUUACUAUAAAAAGAAUAUUNUAAAAAUGAAUUUAANUACCUUAGGGAUAACAGCAUAAUUANNNNNUUAGAUUGUGACCUCGAUGUUGGAUUAAGGCCU
RNAcentral lists this ribosomal RNA (329 nucleotides) under Pyramidula rupestris. RNAcentral describes it as "partial 16S ribosomal RNA". The record is from RNAcentral. Lineage: Eukaryota; Metazoa; Mollusca; Gastropoda; Stylommatophora; Pyramidulidae.